This 445-nucleotide ribosomal RNA is filed under the name uncultured bacterium. RNAcentral's name for it is "bacterial SSU rRNA". It matches the Rfam family "Bacterial small subunit ribosomal RNA", at positions 354 to 796 of the family's 1533-position model. The record is from RNAcentral.
GUGGGGAAUAUUGCGCAAUGGAGGCAACUCUGACGCAGCCAUGCCGCGUGCAGGAAGAAGGCGCUACGCGUUGUAAACUGCUUUUAACCGGGAAGAAACCCCAGGACGUGUCCUGGGUUGACGGUACCGGAGGAAUAAGCACCGGCUAACUUCGUGCCAGCAGCCGCGGUAAUACGAAGGGUGCAAGCGUUAUCCGGAUUCAUUGGGUUUAAAGGGUGCGUAGGCGGAGCGUUAAGUCAGUGGUGAAAUCCUGCAGCUUAACUGUAGACUUGCCAUUGAUACUGGCGCUCUUGAGUGCGCUUGAAGUGGGCGGAAUGUGCCGUGUAGCGGUGAAAUGCUUAGAUAUGGCACAGAACACCAAUUGCGAAGGCAGCUCACUAAGGCGAUACUGACGCUGAGGCACGAAAGCGUGGGGAUCGAACAGGAUUAGAAACCCUAGUAGUCC